GUCUAGAGCGGCAAAGCUUUGAGGAAUUGGAUUUUUCAUCGGUUUCACUCCAUCCCCAAAAUAACUACAAUAAUGAAAAUCAUUUUCGUACCUUGCUUGCAGGACAAUUACACUACUUAAUUCUUGACGAGAUCACCAGUGAUCCGGCAGUUGUGGAUCCAGUAGAACCGGAGUAGGUUAUCAAUGCUGCCAAGCAUCGUGGGGCGCAACUCAAGCUCGUUCUUACUACUCAUCACCACCGGGCUUCAGCCAUAUUUCCCCUAGAUGGAAGUGUUGCUCUAGUUUAUCUUGGUGUAAGAAGAAAGGAGUCUAUACUUGAUGGUGCAUUUAUCUGAUAUUGUUGUUAGUUGUUACUGUAUGCUGUUGAAGGAAAAUGGAGGUGCCCAUGGAGGUGCUACUUCUUCCACUUUUCAUGUUCCGACAGAGGUAAUUGAUGUUACAUGUUUAUUAUCUACCCUUUCCCCAUUUUCUUUUUGGGACUACGCUCAUCCCAUAGAUUGGUUGUCAAACAAAGUAUGCAAACUGAACAAUUUGCUUCAACCCCUGAUGCCCUAAUUUUUCUCUUUAUAAUAUUGUAGCCCAAAUCAAAAUCAAAAUAACUGUAGAAUUUAAUUCAAAAUUGUUAAUAAGUUUGGGAAUCUAAUGUUAGAAGAUAAAAUAUAAAAAAGUUUCUAUGCAGAUACAUAACAAUAUACAGU
This is a long non-coding RNA of Carica papaya (papaya), 698 nucleotides long. RefSeq lists it as uncharacterized. The record is from RefSeq and is a predicted model, not a curated record. Lineage: Eukaryota; Viridiplantae; Streptophyta; Magnoliopsida; Brassicales; Caricaceae.